UACGGAGGAGGCAAGCGUUAUCCGGAAUUAUUGGGCGUAAAGCGUCCGCAGGUGGCACUUCAAGUCUGUCGUCAAAGACUGGGGCUUAACCCUGGAAAGGCGGUGGAAACUGAAGCGCUAGAGUGCGGUAGGGGUAGAGGGAAUUCCCGGUGCAGCGGUGAAAUGCGUAGAGAUCGGGAAGAACAUCGGUGGCGAAAGCGCUCUACUGGACCGCAACUGACACUCAGGGACGAAAGCUAGGGGAGCGAAUGGG
Molecule: ribosomal RNA, 253 nt
Filed under: uncultured bacterium
Lineage: Bacteria
Description: partial 16S ribosomal RNA
Rfam family: Bacterial small subunit ribosomal RNA
Source: RNAcentral